This is a long non-coding RNA of Haliotis rubra (blacklip abalone), 431 nucleotides long. RefSeq lists it as uncharacterized. The record is from RefSeq and is a predicted model, not a curated record. Lineage: Eukaryota; Metazoa; Mollusca; Gastropoda; Lepetellida; Haliotidae. The transcript is spliced from 2 exons.
CUACAGCAAAGGACAAUGCAAAGUAAUAAGGAGUGCCAACUUUCCGCUCCGAGUAGGCUCUAUAGCUACCCACCAGAUUAUGGAGACGAUCGGGUGUUGACAGAAUAUCAGGACAGGACCACACACCACGGACCGUGCAAUACUCAAAGUGCCCCUGAACUCACGACAGGAAUGCGAUAGAAGGAUUACGGUGACGUCACUAGUAUGACGUCAUGGAUGCACGUGCAUCGAGAUGAGCGCAAUGGAGGAGAUCACAAAUCGAGGGCCUAGCUGUCUCACGCUACUUCAUGAGGUCCAUGUUCUUUUGUCAGAAAAUGAUAUUUGAUUACCUCGUGGGUUGCCUUGUCAAAAUACUGUUUGUAUGAUAUUAAGGCUGUCUCGAUUUGUAUGUGUUUUUUAAAAAAACCCAUAAUAAACAUUUUGGUGUUUUA